CACAACGGGGUGCCUUUGUUAAGGCUGAGAUCAUACCCGAGGAACCUGUACGGAUAAUGCCGGCGUAGGGAAUAACGUUUG
This 81-nucleotide non-coding RNA is filed under the name bovine gut metagenome. The record is from RNAcentral.